CAACCAUGGCUGGAGGAGUUUGGGUCGUGGUAGAGAAGGCCACUGGAUAAUGCUACAUCUGUUCACGGAGACAAGCGGGAACCGGAGGGCUUGAAGAUGCGGCCCAGUGUGGCCAGCUUGCUGUUCCGUCUGAUGGGGGGAGUGUGGACGCCGCUCACGAGGCAGCCUGUCCUUAGCACCCUCUGCUGGUCCAGCACAUCUGCUGAUCACAAGAAGUGUGCAAAGAAAUUCAAGACCGAAGAUGCUGAGUGAGCCACCACACCCCGCUGAAACAGCUCGUCAGCACCUUUGAGAGAAUUCGACCCUCUUGCGUGCAAGCAUCCAGACGGUGAGGCAAGCGACAGCAAUCUAUUUGACUGUUCAGAUCAAAACAAGCUGCCCUGGCCCCAGUCGAGCUGGCGUGGUGUCUGACCGAGAUGGAGUCAUUCAUUG
Long non-coding RNA from Hippocampus comes (tiger tail seahorse), 432 nucleotides. RefSeq lists it as uncharacterized. NCBI's taxonomy places the organism in Eukaryota, Metazoa, Chordata, Actinopteri, Syngnathiformes, Syngnathidae. The transcript has 3 exons. The record is from RefSeq and is a predicted model, not a curated record.